Molecule: long non-coding RNA, 4789 nt
Organism: Ailuropoda melanoleuca (giant panda)
Lineage: Eukaryota; Metazoa; Chordata; Mammalia; Carnivora; Ursidae
Exons: 2
Source: RefSeq, a predicted model, not a curated record
GCGGUGAGUGAAGCCCCUGUCUUGUCUGCUGUCCACUGCACUGAAGCCUGGCGCAGCGCCCGGAGGGGCCUGGGCCGUGGCAGGUGCUCAACAGCAGCCAGAACAGUGGCUCCAGAGCACAUCUGGGAUCCCUUUGCCAGUCACAGGCUGGAGAACCUAUUUCUGGGAUCCACAUUCCUGGCCAGCUGGGGCGGGUAUCCAGAAAGGCAGCUUGCCCUAGGCUCUUCCAAUCCCAAGGGUCCUGGUGUUCGGGAGUGUAGGGACGUGGCAGAAAUCUGCAUGUCGCAGCUGGGAAAGGAGAGAAAGUCCAUCCGGCAGUCAGCCUGGGCAGGCCUGAGGUGACUCCGAUGGGCCCUGCUUAAGGGAGGUUCCCUAGUGGUGUUGAGACCCAGACUGAGAACACUGAAUGCUGACACAGGUGUACAGGGCCCUGUGGGGACGGGGAGGGAUGUGUAAUGGCGAGGGAGAUGAAGCGGCGGGGACUAUUUUCUGCACUGAGGGGUUUGCAGGAGAGAGAAACAACAAGACCUUCAGCUGGAGGGAACAGUCGGUAGUUAGCACCAUGGUCUGAGGGUGGGCCAGACGGACUGGAUUAUGAGGCCACCCAGGCCAAGCAGUUUGAAGGCCAAGGGAAUCACUAGAGAGUUUUAAGCCAACUUACUUAAAAAAUGACCAAGUGUCCUGUCCUUUAGGAAGAAAAGUUGGUGGAGAGAUUUAGUCUAAAGAGAGGUGAUAAUAUAGGCCAGAUUGGAGACAGUUCCUGGAGAGUCACACCGAAUCUGGUGAGAGAAAGGGGCAGGGGGACACACAGGGAGAGAAACAGAGCUCCUGGCAUGUGGACUUGAGAGAGUCCAGGAAACACCACUGGGAGGCGACCAGAGCCCGCAGACGCUCCAGAGUUGUGCGGGCAUCUUUGCCAUAGUGUUUCGGAGCCUCAACAGUACUGGCAGUGCUUUGGUGGGGGGCGCUGCCCUGCCCUUACUCCCACCCCCUCCCCACCGCCACCACCCCCCGUUGUCACAGCCAAAAAUGUCUUCACAUCCCUGGGUGGAACAGAGAAGGCCUGAUCUGGCAGGUGAGGUGAAGCCAGGGGAGGGGCUGAGAUGGUUCAGAAUGUGCAGAGCGAGCAAGGGCUAGCUGCAGGCCUAUGAAGUGCCGCUGGAGGAGAAAGAGGGGCCGUAGAGUAAGGCUGUGGCCAUCGGGAGGAAAAGGAGCUCAUCACUCAUCAGUGAGGACAGGACCAGAAAAGGCUCACUGGAUUUGGCGACAGGGAGGUUGCUGGUGCCCAGGGUGGGAGCAGACUCAGAGGUGGGUGGGGUACAGCCAAGGGCCAGCUUGCAGCCAGUUGAGGGGUGGGAGGGGACGAAGCGGACAGGCAGGUGUAGAUUUUUCGGAAGCCUGGCUGAGAAGGGAGGGAAAGGGGGAUAGUUGGCAGGAAGAGCAAAGAGCAUGAGGUUUUGUGCUGGAAAACUCAAUCCUGGUGCUGACCACCUCCACAUUUCCUCCGACUGUGCCCUCUCGGGGUUGCUGGAAAGGUCAGUGAACAUACACGAUGGGCUGGGUGGAUUGUCUAGCAGGCCGCAUUGAACCCAAGAGCCUCUGAUCUCCAGAGUCCCGGGGGGAGGAGGCAUCUUUCUCAGUCUCCCAGGAGCACGGCCACCCCGUCUGCUCUGAAUUCCUAGUCCCCGUGGCAAGAGUGAAGAAAAGAAAAUCCACAGGAGCUAAAAAUAAGCCGAGAACACCACUCCUGGCUCUGACGAACCCAACAGUUGUGAAAAUCCAAGUCUACGUGGCGGGGAGGAAGCCGAUGACACAGACCCCUCAUGACCUAGAAGAGUUCUAGCCUCGUCUGACAGAUGUUUAGUGUUCGAGUGCUUCACUUGCUCACAUCAGCCCGAUUUUGACAUUGGGACGACUCCUGUCCUACAACACAUCUGAGGGGAAGCGAGGUCAGGAAGACGAAACAGGUGAAGAAAUGGGACACACAGGUUCCUGGCCCAGGCCCCACAUCACUAACUCACCACGACCAGCAGGGCGGCUGUAAAGUCCUAGCAUGUCACUGCACACGCACACCUGCGCCCUGAGUUCCGGGCCGUGGCCUCGGAUGCACCUCUCACUUCGGGAAGUCACAUAACCUUUCUGAGCUCUUCUCCCUGUCUGUGUCUUCGGGGUGGUUGGGCUGCCAUCAGCUCUUGAUCCCCCUCGCGCGUGCUGCCCCCUAGUUAUUCCAAGAUGUGCUUCUCAAAUUUGGAAGUAAAGGUGGGAGGCUUGCUGCCUGUGAUCACAAGAUCUGCCAUUUCAGCCUUUCUACCAGGAGCCGCCACACCACCUCCUCCUCUUCCAGGGUCCCAAGCAUGGCCCGUGUGUCCCCCUCCCCACCCCCGUUUCAGCUUUGCAGGCCAGCGUCCGUGCCAGUCGUGCACAGGGGAGCGGCAUUGGGCCUGGGCCGGCCAUGGCCAGCGUGCUUGUGACUCCGGCUUCGUGGCGUGCAGGGAGAAGGGGGCCCUGAGUGACAAAGUGAAGCAGGGACACCCAGUGCCUUCGUCUAGCCAGUGGUUGUACUUACCUGGAGGGCAGCCGCAGGCAGGCCCUGGCUCCGCCUUCUCUGUCCCCGGCUCUGUGGUCUCUGGGGCUCGGCAUCACUAGGGCAGCUCCACGGCAGGACCCUCCCAAGGGGGAAGCGCAUCAGCUACGGAUACGGAUGGUUGCUGCCAUUUAGAAGUUCUAUCCUUUUAUCUGUGAGCCUUAGUGUCCUCGUCUGUCAUGUGUGGGUACUGCCAGCCCCGGGGAACAGGUGUGAGCAGUAAGAGGGAGGUGUGUGAAUUCUGAGGGUUAGAAUUCGACCCUUGCUUAGCACCCACACCUUACCACUUGCCAGGUCAGGGCGCCAGGUUCAAGGUUCAAGUUUCAGGGUCAGUAAACUUUCUGCGCCAGUGGCAGAGACGCAGCAGAGAGUUGGGAGGGCCAGGAAAAUGGUCCUGCACGUGACCAUUUCAUCAAAGUGACAGCCUUCAUUUAACCAGAGUGGGUCCAUUGCUGUUUUAAGACAGAAGCUUUUAUUUGUACUCAUCCAAAUGGGGAGAAUGCAACAUGUCAGGGCAUUACAGACAGACCGCAGCAGCCGAGAGGGUCAGUGUAUGGCGCAGUCCGACAGUCAGUGCGAAGGAGCCACAGUGUGGGCGCUGGGGUGGCAGAGAGUCCCUUUGGAUGAAGGCCAGGCAUCUCUGGACGAGGCACUGGUGACAGUCCACACAUGCAGCUGCUGCUUCAACCACGCCGAAGGUUUACAGUUCAGAGUCCUACAUGUCGUCAUUGCCCCAGAGGGGAAGGACAGUCCGUGGUGGUCGCGUUUGCCAAUGGUUUUCAACAUAAUACACAAAGUUAUUGCCAAGGACUUUGCACUGCAAAUUAUACUAUUUACACUUGCGUAUUCAGGAAAAAACAGUAAAUAGAUAUUUUAAAUUGAUAUCUAAAAACUACCUUGGCCAUCACUGGACCAGAGUGAGAGUAAGCUAUAGCCAGGAGUCCAAUGUCAUGUGUGUAACUGUGCAGUGGGGAAAGGUUUUCUACCCACAACUACACUCGGCCUUCUCCGUGCCUCCUGAACUCCCCACCCUGGGGCUGAGGCUGAGCAGGGCCACCUUACUCCUUUAUGAGGGAAGCCCCUCCUUGAACAGCCCUGGGCUUCAGUUCUCAACUAGCUGCCUCCUCCCCAGACCAUGCUGCCCUGCCCACUCUGCUCGGAGUGGGUAACGAGUCCUGCAGGCCCCUCUCUGUGAGUGCUCCACGGCUCGCAGACCAGGGUGUGGGGGCUGUGCAGCGAACGGGCUGAGCUGGGCCCGUCAGCCCCACUGCUCUUAGAAGUGCCCUCACCCUAAUUAGGGCUACCUCAGGAGACUGUCUUCUUCUGUCCUCCUGAAGGUGGAGCUGGGCCCCUACCGGCCACUUAGGCCAGCAAACCGCUCCCUGGAGAAAGGCCUGAGCUCAGAAACACUCUGGGUAAGCAAGGUAAGCACUGCUGAGGGCUGAUACAGAUGAAAGCUGCCCAGUGAAGGUGCUCGCUCAUGCCUCACUAGCAGCUCCCCAGAAGACGAGAGACAAAGGCAGAGGACGCCCACCUCAAGCAAGCAUUCCCUUUGCUUCCGUAAGACACUGGGAAGGAAGUGCAUCUGAGGGUGGGAGACAGCACACAAGGCGGCCAGAGGCGCCUGGGAUUACUGGGAGGUGCUCAAAAUAAGGCCCCUGAGUCAGGGGCCUUGAGGUUGCCCGUAAUUCAUCUCCCCAGCUGAGCUAGACACAAGCCUUUCCUCUCCAAGAAAGGGAGCAAGAAGUGGCAGGCCCCACUGCUGAGAAACCACUGCAGUAAGUGAGCAAGGGGACAGGCAGCUCUAGGUGUUCCCUCCACGAAGGAGGGGUGCAGUGCGAACCCCACCCGACCGCCCAGGGCUGGUCUGAGCAUGAGAUGCUGUCCUGGUCAGGGAAAGGGAGGCACCUAAUGGCCGCACCUCUGACACAACGGGAGAGAAGAGAUAUUUGGGGAAUCGGCGAAAUUCCAGUCACAGCUCUUGUGGGUGUCCCCAUGAGCCCAGGGCUCAGUGCCGCAGAUGACGCACUCCGGGGCUGACACCGUGACACGUAGCAAGGAAGGAGCCCAUGUGGAGCAACGUUUUGCCACAGACACACCAAACCAAAACUCCUAAGCCCAAAGUGGGGAGCAGCGCUCAGCCCAAAGAGGGGGAAAGAGACUGGACACUUAGAAUGCAACUUAAUAAAUCACGUGGAGAAGGGA